GAUGAACGCUGGCGGCGUGCUUAACACAUGCAAGUCGAACGAUGAAGCCCAGCUUGCUGGGUGGAUUAGUGGCGAACGGGUGAGUAACACGUGAGUAACCUGCCCUUGACUCUGGGAUAAGCGCUGGAAACGGCGUCUAAUACCGGAUACGAGCUUCCACCGCAUGGUGAGUUGCUGGAAAGAAUUUCGGUCAAGGAUGGACUCGCGGCCUAUCAGGUAGUUGGUGAGGUAACGGCUCACCAAGCCGACGACGGGUAGCCGGCCUGAGAGGGUGACCGGCCACACGGGGACGGAGACGCGGCCCAGACUCCUACGGGAGGCAGCAGUGGGGAAUAUUGCACAAUGGGCGCAAGCCUGAUGCAGCAACGCCGCGGGGGGGAAGAAGGCCUGCGGGUCGUAAACCUCUUUUAGCAGGGAAGAAGCGAAAGUGACGGUACCUGAAGAAAAAGCCCCGGCUAACUACGUG
RNAcentral lists this ribosomal RNA (466 nucleotides) under uncultured bacterium. RNAcentral describes it as "partial 16S ribosomal RNA". It matches the Rfam family "Bacterial small subunit ribosomal RNA", at positions 28 to 507 of the family's 1533-position model. The record is from RNAcentral.